UUUCCGUAGGUGAACCUGCGGAAGGAUCAUUCAUAAUAAAGUGUUUUAUGGCACUUUUUAAAAGUCCAUAUCCACCUUGUGUGCAAUGUUAGAUCUCGUCAAUCUUGGCGAGAUUUUUAUACAUCAACUCAUUCUUUAACUAAUUUGUCUGAAAAAUAUUAUGGAUACUUAAUUCAAAAUACAACUUUCAACAACGGAUCUCUUGGCUCUC
This 211-nucleotide unclassified non-coding RNA is filed under the name plant metagenome. RNAcentral describes it as "partial contains small subunit ribosomal RNA, internal transcribed spacer 1, and 5.8S ribosomal RNA". The record is from RNAcentral.